GUUUUUAGCAGCAACUAGUUUUAGAGCAGCGGAUGAUGUUAAUGGAUUUGUUGGUCGAGUAUCAAGGUCGAGUAUGGGCUCGAGUACUUCAAUUGGUUUAUCAACUUGAUCUUCAUUGAGACUGAAAUCUUCCCCAUCUUGGUAUGCACUGUCCUCAGUGACUGACUUGGGUCUCUCUCUAGUGGAUUACUCUCUUCCACUCCUUAUGGUGAUAGCAUGAACAUUAGCAUACUCCUUGGGAUUCUGAAUUGACUUCCCUGAAAGUCCUGUAACUUUGGGAGCAGAGGUAGAUGCGGAUUGUCCUUCCAAGUAUCUGACUUUGGAAUUCAACGCCUCCACUUUUGCAUUCAGGUCAUUGUAGUUGCAGUCUACCUUAUGGUGCAAUUCAGAUAUCUUUUUAGCAAUCUCAAUGGAGCUAGAUACUUGUCCCUGUAGCAGCUAUUGUAGCAUUUGUUUCAUGUCAGCGUCAGGAGCAGCAUGACCUUGGUGUUGCUGAA
This 497-nucleotide small RNA is filed under the name Arabidopsis thaliana (thale cress). Its description in RNAcentral is "ATSL095480". Lineage: Eukaryota; Viridiplantae; Streptophyta; Magnoliopsida; Brassicales; Brassicaceae. The record is from RNAcentral.